Molecule: ribosomal RNA, 304 nt
Filed under: uncultured Mollicutes bacterium
Lineage: Bacteria; Bacillati; Mycoplasmatota; Mollicutes
Description: bacterial SSU rRNA
Rfam family: Bacterial small subunit ribosomal RNA
Source: RNAcentral
GUGGUUAAGUCCCGCAACGAGCGCAACCCUCAUUGUUAGUUACUACCAUUCAGUUGAGGACUCUAAUGAGACUGCCAACGACAAGUUGGAGGAAGUGGGGAUGACGUCAAAUCAUCAUGCCCUUUAUGACCUGGGCUACAAACGUACUACAAUGGCCAAUACAAAGAGAUGCGAAGCGGUGACGUGAAGCGAACCUCAGAAAGUUGGUCUCAGUUCAGAUUGAAGUCUGCAACUCGACUUCGUGAAGGCGGAAUCGCUAGUAAUCGCGGGUCAGCAGACCGCGGUGAAUACGUUCCCGGGUUUU